Molecule: ribosomal RNA, 466 nt
Filed under: uncultured bacterium
Lineage: Bacteria
Description: partial 16S ribosomal RNA
Rfam family: Bacterial small subunit ribosomal RNA
Source: RNAcentral
GACGAACGCUGGCGGCGUGCUUAACACAUGCAAGUCGAACGGUAAGGCUCCAGCUUGCUGGGGUACACGAGUGGCGAACGGGUGAGUAACACGUGGGUGACCUGCCCUGCACUUCGGGAUAAGCCUGGGAAACUGGGUCUAAUACCGGAUAGGACCAUGGUGUGGAUACUGUGGUGGAAAGUUUUUUCGGUGUGGGAUGGGCCCGCGGCCUAUCAGCUUGUUGGUGGGGUAAUGGCCUACCAAGGCGGCGACGGGUAGCCGGCCUGAGAGGGUGGACGGCCACAUUGGGACCGAGACACGGCCCAGACUCCUACGGGAGGCAGCAGUGGGGAAUAUUGCACAAUGGGCGGAAGCCUGAUGCAGCGACGCCGCGUGGGGGAUGACGGCCUUCGGGUUGUAAACUCCUUUCACCAUCGACGAAGGGUUUCUGACGGUAGAUGGAGAAGAAGCACCGGCUAACUACGUG